GACGUAGGGCGCGAGCGUUGUCCGGAUUCAUUGGGCGUAAAGGGUGCGUAGGCGGCGGGGUAAGUUUGAUGUGAAAUUCCGGGGCUCAACCCUGGCAUGGCAUUGAAGUACUACCUUGCUAGAGUACCGGAGAGGAAACUGGAAUUUACGGUGUAGCAGUGAAAUGCGUAGAGAUCGUAAGGAAGACCAGUGGCGAAGGCGGGUCUCUGGACAGUUCCUGACGCUGAGGCACGAAGGUCAGGGGAGCAAACGGG
This 254-nucleotide ribosomal RNA is filed under the name uncultured bacterium. RNAcentral's name for it is "partial 16S ribosomal RNA". It matches the Rfam family "Bacterial small subunit ribosomal RNA", at positions 524 to 776 of the family's 1533-position model. The record is from RNAcentral.